CUUUAUUGUAAUGAUGAAAUGAAUGAGUAACGUAAUAUCCAAACCACGUGGUCAAAAGGGAAAUACCUGAUAUCUGAAAAAGACAAAAAGAGAUUUCAUAUUCAAUAAAAAAAAAGAACAUGGAUGGAAAGAAAUAUAUUGUCUAUAAUUUAGUGGUAUCAAUUAGUAUAUGUUCCAUUCUAGUACAAGGAAAUACAACCGUAACUGGUAAGAUUUAUUAUUUUGUAUCUUUUUCUACAAUUACUGGUCUUAGUAUUUUUCUAUGCUUUGUCAUUUCUUUGUUCAUUAAACAAAGCUUUAAAUAUUUUAAUCAAAACCAUAUAGAUACCUUUUGGACGAUUUAAUUAAAAUCUGUAACCCAUACACAUUAUUAGAUUAUCUUUGAAUAAAUAUUCAUAACAUUAGUUAUUUGACGACUUAUCAUAGUGAUAGACUAAAUAAAUUGAGGACAAUAACAGAAUUGAUUAUACAACCGGUAUUUAUAUAAAUGAGAUAACCGUUAAUAUUGAUGAUGUUCAUGUCGAUAGUAAACAAAGUAAGGACCCAUUCAUGUUACACUAUUAUUAAUAACCAUUUUAAACAGCUUGUUAGUUGAAGCGUAAUACCGAAAAGGGGGUAUGAUCAGCUUUACAAGUAUUUUGAAAAUGUAAAGAAAAGAUUUUCUUAUUCAUCAUAUAUAUCAGAGGACAGAUUAUUCAUUUAAUUAUACUAUUAUUCAAAUACAUAUCAACAAAACUACAUAUUAAACAUACAUUCGAAUUGUCCGUUUGAAAAAUAAAAUAAAUAUCUCUCGAUUUUAAGAUUUAUAGGAUAUAAAUGAAAUAUAGUAAGUAAAUGUAACAUUAUAAAUUUACUACAAACUGAGGCAAUACUAAAGAUGCAUGGAAAUUUAAAGUAAUCAAAGGACAAAAACUCAUAGCCAUAGACAACCCCGCCCCCAAAAAAAUUAAAAUAAAAAAAAUAAAUAAAAUAAAUAAAAUAAAUAAAAUAAAUAAAAUAAAUUAAAUAAAUUAAAUAAAUUAAAUAAGAUAAACAGUGAAAAAUGAAAAAAAAAAAAAUCACCAAAAAAACCAAACACAACCAGAACAUGGUACACAGAAAAACUUGAAAUCUGUUUUGUUUUUGUGGUUAAACAAACGUUUUUCUAACAAUAACAUUUCAUAUGUUUAGAUUAGAUAGAAAGACAAGAAUGAUCACAACAAAACUUCAUAUCAGUGGUGACGACAAUUGUUACUUGUCAAUCACAAGUUGUGACCGAUAGGGGAAUUUAUCACUCAUAACUAAAAUUGACGUGUUGACUUGCACUUUUAAAGAAGUACAUGUAUAUUAAUAUAAUACAACCUCAAAUGACUGGCACUCUGAAUUAUGCAGGC
This 1373-nucleotide long non-coding RNA is filed under the name Mytilus galloprovincialis (Mediterranean mussel). Lineage: Eukaryota; Metazoa; Mollusca; Bivalvia; Mytilida; Mytilidae. The record is from RNAcentral.